Molecule: long non-coding RNA, 741 nt
Filed under: Malus domestica (apple)
Lineage: Eukaryota; Viridiplantae; Streptophyta; Magnoliopsida; Rosales; Rosaceae
Description: long non-coding RNA (MDOM_LNC020465)
Source: RNAcentral
AGCUAUGAGUGACAUCUAACCAUAUGUCAUAGCUACCCAAGCUAAUGUAGAAGUUGUUCGGAGAACCUAUUCCGUUGGAAUUACAAUGUAAUUCGAUCCUUCUCUAAAACAAUACUCUCAAUCACAUUACUAGGGUAUGGAUAUAUUAUGUCAAACCCCUAAUGUGAUUAUUCCUUCUUAUAUGAUUCUAUUGAGUCGUAUAGGAACGCUUUCCUGUAUUACGCUCGAUACUUCGGCCGAAGGUUCCCGAAUCAUAUCUUAGAGUAUUCUUCCUCUCUUAUCAAGGAUUAGAGAUUCCUUGUUGCGCAUUCACUUGCCUUCAUGACUAAGUGGCUUAACCCCAAUUAUGUCGUGGACACCCACGAAUGGGGUGACUUUGACAUAAUCAAAGAUUAAGUACUUAGCCACAAGACAACGACGAUGCCUCAGGUCAAAGGACUACUUACAUUAUUCCAACCAUUAGAGUUACUUGCUUGACAUGUGAGUAGACCUCCAUGCAAGUACUCUCGUUCGAUUGUGUUCUGUGAACUCAUUCCCUUAAUGAGCACCUACAUACUUGUCUUAGUGUCACUACACAGAUGGGAUGAGACUUUCCAUUCUUCCAUUUGAAGCGGACACAGUAUGUACCGGUCUAAGCAUUGUCAGUUUCCCUCCGACAAUCCAAUGACCAGGAAUGAUAGGAGCAUAUUUAUGCGACUUAGUUGGCUUGUUCUUAAGCAUUUAUGUUGUUUUUCUUUAGUU